GGGGUUGUAGCUAAGUGGUUAAGGCGGUCGAUUUGUAAUCGACAAAUCAGGAGUUCAAAUCUCUUCAACCCCU
RNAcentral lists this transfer RNA (73 nucleotides) under Gammaproteobacteria bacterium. RNAcentral describes it as "tRNA-Thr". It matches the Rfam family "tRNA". Rfam says of the family: Transfer RNA (tRNA) molecules are approximately 80 nucleotides in length. Lineage: Bacteria; Pseudomonadati; Pseudomonadota; Gammaproteobacteria. The record is from RNAcentral.